RNAcentral lists this unclassified non-coding RNA (310 nucleotides) under plant metagenome. RNAcentral's name for it is "partial contains small subunit ribosomal RNA, internal transcribed spacer 1, and 5.8S ribosomal RNA". The record is from RNAcentral.
UUUCCGUAGGUGAACCUGCGGAAGGAUCAUUAACACGAACAAAAUGUUCCAAAACCUUUUUGGAUCAACGCCAACCUUUGAAAAGGCGAACCUAGUUGUAUUUUUCUCCUUUUUCUAUUUCGUUUUUCUCAAACGCAACUUCUCAUGGAAAUUGACUAGAAUCGUGUGAUUUGUUCCAAUCCUAUCACCUCUUUCUCCUCUCCUCUCCUCGUGAGGUGAGAUGGGAUGUAAGAUGGGAGAUGGGGGGUGGGUUUGGAACUAACCAUUCCUAACGCUAAAACAACUCUUAACAACGGAUAUCUUGGCUCUC